UUCGGGAGCCUAUACAGGUGGUGCAUGGUUGUCGUCAGCUCGUGCCGUGAGGUGUUGGGUUAAGUCCCGCAACGAGCGCAACCCCUAUUGAUAGUUGCUAAUAUUAAGUUAAGGACUCUAUUGAGACUGCCAGCGACAAGCUGGAGGAAGGUGGGGAUGACGUCAAAUCAUCAUGGCCCUUACGACCAGGGCUACACACGUGCUACAAUGGCGCAUACAAAGAGAAGCGACCUCGCGAGAGCAAGCGGACCUCAUAAAGUGCGUCGUAGUCCGGAUUGGAGUCUGCAACUCGACUCCAUGAAGUCGGAAUCGCUAGUAAUCGUGGAUCAGAAUGCCACGGUGAAUACGUUCCCGGGUCUU
Molecule: ribosomal RNA, 360 nt
Filed under: uncultured Lactobacillus sp.
Lineage: Bacteria; Bacillati; Bacillota; Bacilli; Lactobacillales; Lactobacillaceae
Description: bacterial SSU rRNA
Rfam family: Bacterial small subunit ribosomal RNA
Source: RNAcentral